Molecule: long non-coding RNA, 2283 nt
Organism: Triticum aestivum (bread wheat)
Lineage: Eukaryota; Viridiplantae; Streptophyta; Magnoliopsida; Poales; Poaceae
Exons: 3
Source: RefSeq, a predicted model, not a curated record
CCUGUGUCUCUCCCCUUGCCCCCGUGCUCUCUCUCUCUCCCUCUCUCUCUCCCUCUCCCUCUCCCUCUCUCUCUCUCUCUCCCUCUCCCUCUCCCCCCCCUCUCUCUCUCUCUCUGAGCUCUUCUCAUCUCACCGCCGUACUUCGUUUACAGGAGCAACCAUGGAUGCUCCGCGUUCAAGGUGUACAAGGCCGAUUUGGAGUGGUUCCCUCGCAAGCCCCUGCUAUUCCCCACCUCUCGCGGGGUUCUAGGCAGGAAGGUUUCCAAGGAGGUACAGAUAGCAAAGUUCAAACAAUUCAGUGCAGCAGCAGCAACACCUCCAAGGACGCUGGGCUCGCAUGGUCUAGGCCACUAUCGAUUUGUUUCUCUUGGUCGAUGGCCUCUUUCGCCUAUGGUCGGAUCUGCGCGUCAGCGUCCACAGGAGGACUAGGAUCUGGCUGUGCUCCACGACCAUCACAACCAAGCCGGGGAGCGCCAGAGAUCACAACUUGAAAAUUUUAACUGCAAUAUUUGUUGGUCAGUGUCCUCUGAAAUUGUUUGUAAGGUAGUGCUCUAUUCUGUAUAGCAUCCUUGGAAGAUUGUGUGGUGUGAUGCUUUAUUUAUAAAGCGGGGCGUAUAGCCCUUUUUGUUAUUCUGUAUAACAAAGGGAAAGAGCCUCAGUUUGGUAUAGCAAUGGGGGUGAUCCUUCGUUGGAAGAAACAUUAGACUUACUGUUUUUUUAUACUAGCAUAGUGUUGGUUGUUAAUUUUAAGUGUAUCAUCAGUUUUUUCAGCCAAUGAAGUUAUGCUCACGACAUGGAGAACUUCGAGGACAACCUGCCUGAACAGUUUCUACCUGAUUAUUGAACUAGGCCAUUUACUAUACAAAUAGUUAUUUUGUUGCAAGUUACGCCCGUUGCUUCUAAAUACUACACUUUUGGUUGCAUUUUGCAACUAAGAAUGACACAAGCAGACUCUAAAACAUUCGAGCAAUGCCCAAGGUUAGUGCAGGAAGCAUAGUAGUUUGCUUUAGUAGAAAUUAUAUUCCUUUUUUCCACUACUGUGAACAUGGACGUGAGUAGGUAAUUUCUCCUAAAAAAACCUAAUUAAUGUAUUGUUGAACCUAAUUUUGAGAUGAUUUUUAUUCUACCAUUGUACAGUGCACAUUAGCAUCGUCUAAAUACAUAUGUCUUUGGGGGUUUCUUUUUGGUGGCAAAUUGAUUCUUGCAAUCAUAGCGGAAAGGCCAGCAAUAAGGCACUUUACACUGAUGAAAUUUGCAUAACUAUUCCUCUUUGUGAUACGAUUUCACCAAAAGUUUCAACAUUCAGAUGUUUACUUAGUUAAACCCGAACUGAUGCACCCACCCAUACAUGUAUAAGCUCCAAAAAAAACAAUAUGCAAAGAAUUUUUCAGCUUUCGGGCUAUAAGCAUUAGACAUUUUCAAAAGAAAUGCUGAAUGUUAGUAUCAAUUGAAUCAAUUUGACCUUAACACAGUGCAGGUACUGUUAAAUCUAUAGUUGUAAUUUAUUCAUCUGUAACUUGAUUUUCUUUUCACUUCUGUUUUUAUAAAUUCAUGUAGUCGGCUAUAAUAAUGAUAUUUUUUUUUCUUUUGAGAGAGAAAUUGUGUGUCUGCUCUGGUUUCAGUUUUAACGUCAGCUCGUUACAAUCCGUAACUACUUAUAGACUACUUCAUCCGGAUGGGUUUGCAACUUUGUGUACAGACUGCUUCAACACUUCUAUUUUCUAUAGGACUUGGAUUAAUAAUCUCCAACAAUAUGGUCAUGCUUCUUAUAUUCACUUUCAGUUCUAAAUACAUUUGUGCUUUUCUCUAUGUUGUACUACUAAACUAUGUGUGCUCAACUGAACAUAAAAAUAUGAUGGGGUGGUGGUUUCAGCCAUAGAAAGAAUUGAUGUGGAGAACAAAGGAAAUUUUCGACGGACGAAGAACUCGCUCGAGAUGCUUCAGUGAUGAUUUUAUAUAGCAUUUUAUCUAAACCUGGGUUCCUUCUUUCAGACUGGGCGGUGCCAUAUGAUGUGAAGCCGGUGUAAUAACUUUUUCAUUUGGCAUCAGUGGACAGUGGUGAUGUGGCAACCUUUUAGACAAUUUGCCACCUGUAACACAAUGUAAAACCUCAUACGAGCUGGUUGCCUUCUUGGUAGUUGUUGCGGCUUCUGAAUUAAGUGUACCGCUAUGUUUAAAACGCCAUGAUCAGAAGCUAUGGUAGGUGUAUCAAUUGUGGGUGGCUAUUCCUAAGAUUGAUUCUUAUUGGGUCAGGGGCAUGUGAUUUCGUUCUCCCGGUGCAAC